This 839-nucleotide ribosomal RNA is filed under the name Xenorhabdus bovienii. RNAcentral's name for it is "bacterial LSU rRNA". It matches the Rfam family "Bacterial large subunit ribosomal RNA", at positions 1115 to 1934 of the family's 2925-position model. The record is from RNAcentral. Lineage: Bacteria; Pseudomonadati; Pseudomonadota; Gammaproteobacteria; Enterobacterales; Morganellaceae.
GCCAUCAUUUAAAGAAAGCGUAAUAGCUCACUGGUCGAGUCGGCCUGCGCGGAAGAUGUAACGGGGCUAAACCAUGCACCGAAGCUGCGGCAGCAACAUUUCGAUGUUGUUGGGUAGGGGAGCGUUCUGUAAGCCUGCGAAGGUGUGCUGUGAGGCAUGCUGGAGGUAUCAGAAGUGCGAAUGCUGACAUAAGUAACGAUAAAGCGGGUGAAAAACCCGCUCGCCGGAAGACCAAGGGUUCCUGUCCAACGUUAAUCGGGGCAGGGUGAGUCGACCCCUAAGGCGAGGCCGAAAGGCGUAGUCGAUGGGAAACGGGUUAAUAUUCCCGUACUCGGUGUUACUGCGAAGGGGGGACGGAGAAGGCUAGACCGGCCGGGCGACGGUUGUCCCGGUUCAAGCGUGUAGGUGGGAAGAAUUGGUAAAUCCGUUCUUCUGUGAACACUGAGGCGUGAUAACGAGGCACUACGGUGCUGAAGUGGUUGAUGCCCUGCUUCCAGGAAAAGCCUCUAAGCAUCAGGUAACAGUGAAUCGUACCCCAAACCGACACAGGUGGUCAGGUAGAGAAUACUCAGGCGCUUGAGAGAACUCGGGUGAAGGAACUAGGCAAAAUGGUGCCGUAACUUCGGGAGAAGGCACGCUGGCGUUAGGUGAAGGGACUUGCUCCCGGAGCCGAAGCCAGUCGCAGAUACCAGCUGGCUGCAACUGUUUAAUAAAAACACAGCACUGUGCAAACACGAAAGUGGACGUAUACGGUGUGACGCCUGCCCGGUGCUGGAAGGUUAAUUGAUGGGGUUAGCGGCAACGCGAAGCUCUUGAUCGAAGCCCCAGUAAACGGCGGC